UCAGGGUUCGAUUCCGGAGAGGGAGCAUGAGAAACGGCUACCACAUCCAAGGAAGGCAGCAGGCGCGCAAAUUACCCACUCCCAGUUCGGGGAGGUAGUGACGAAAAAUAACAAUGCGGGACUCUAAGAGGCCCCGUAAUUGGAAUGAGACAAAUUUAAAUCCUUUAACGAGGAUCAAUUGGAGGGCAAGUCUGGUGCCAGCAGCCGCGGUAAUUCCAGCUCCAAUAGCGUAUAUUAAAGUUGUUGCAGUUAAAAAGCUCGUAGUUGGAUCUCGGGCAAGGUCUGCGGGGUGGCUCACUGGGCCUUAUCCCGCAGACUUGACCUUCAUUCAUUUUCUUCAGUUGCCUUUCAUAGGGUGAUUGGAGUGAAUGAAAUCUUUACUUUGAAGAAAUUAGAGUGUUCAAAGCGGGCGAUGCUUGAAUAGUUGAGCAUGGAAUAAUGGAAUAGGACCUCGG
Molecule: ribosomal RNA, 455 nt
Filed under: Paradasys subterraneus
Lineage: Eukaryota; Metazoa; Gastrotricha; Macrodasyida; Lepidodasyidae
Description: bacterial SSU rRNA
Rfam family: Eukaryotic small subunit ribosomal RNA
Source: RNAcentral